GGUUCUUCAGGUUUUUGUUGAAGCAUUGAGUUGAGAUGUAUCACUGUGCUUACUUUGACUACUGGGGUCAAGGGAUGCAGUCACUGUUAAUUCAGGAACUGCACCGACUCUGUUCCCUGUGGUUCAAUGCGGCUCUGGGACUGGAAAUCAAAUCACUGUUGGUUGUCUGGCUCAUGACUUCAUCCCAAAGAGUACUUUCCAGUGGACGGAUGACAGCGGGACCAGUUUACCUUCUGUACAAUAUUCUACAACUGUCAAUGACAACAAAUUCACAGGUCUUAGUCUGGCCCGAGUAUCCAAAUCUGACUGGGAUUCAGGGAACUCUUUUAACUGUGCUUUGACGUAUCCUGGAGGAUCCAAAAGUGUCAAAGUUGAAAUGCCCGAACUCCCUCCAAAGAUAACGUUGGCAUUGGUGCCAAGAGGAGACACUCAGGCUCUGAUGUGUUCAAUUUAUGAUUUUUUUCCCAAUGAAUUGACGGUAAAAUGGAAGAAAAAUGAAAUAGAAGAAACUGGCUUCACUACU
Molecule: non-coding RNA, 523 nt
Organism: Labrus bergylta (ballan wrasse)
Lineage: Eukaryota; Metazoa; Chordata; Actinopteri; Labriformes; Labridae
Source: RefSeq, a predicted model, not a curated record